GGUGAUGUGAUUUCCCCUUUUCAAAAUGCUUUUAUUAGUAGAAGAUAAAUAUGGGACAACAUUAUCCUAAGGGAUGAGGCUAUAAAGAAAAUCCAAUAAAAAAAAUCGGGUGCUGACCUUCUUGAGGUCUCAAAUUGGGCAUGAACCAGGCAAUUAUUAGAUUAAGCUGGAUCUUGAUUGAAGCAGUUCUUGAAUAAAUGGGUUUGUCUAAGUGGUGGGUUGAUCGAAUUCUUUCUUAUAUUUUUACAGUAAGC
Molecule: long non-coding RNA, 254 nt
Filed under: Gossypium barbadense (sea-island cotton)
Lineage: Eukaryota; Viridiplantae; Streptophyta; Magnoliopsida; Malvales; Malvaceae
Description: long non-coding RNA (GBAR_LNC006503)
Source: RNAcentral